AUUGAACGCUGGCGGCAUGCCUUACACAUGCAAGUCGAACGGUAACAGCACUUCGGUGGCUGACGAGUGGCGGACGGGUGAGUAAUACAUCGGAACGUGCCCGAUCUGGGGGAUAACUACUCGAAAGAGUGGCUAAUACCGCAUACGAGUCUACGGAUGAAAGCGGGGGAUCGCAAGACCUCGCGCGGACGGAGCGGCCGAUGGCAGAUUAGGUAGUUGGUGGGAUAAAAGCUUACCAAGCCGACGAUCUGUAGCUGGUCUGAGAGGACGACCAGCCACACUGGGACUGAGACACGGCCCAGACUCCUACGGGAGGCAGCAGUGGGGAAUUUUGGACAAUGGGGGAAACCCUGAUCCAGCCAUGCCGCGUGCAGGAUGAAGGCCUUCGGGUUGUAAACUGCUUUUGUACGGAACGAAAAGACUCUUUCUAAUACAGAGGGUCCAUGACGGUACCGUAAGAAUAAGCACCGGCUAACUACGUG
This 482-nucleotide ribosomal RNA is filed under the name uncultured bacterium. RNAcentral's name for it is "bacterial SSU rRNA". It matches the Rfam family "Bacterial small subunit ribosomal RNA", at positions 30 to 507 of the family's 1533-position model. The record is from RNAcentral.